This 447-nucleotide ribosomal RNA is filed under the name uncultured bacterium. RNAcentral describes it as "bacterial SSU rRNA". It matches the Rfam family "Bacterial small subunit ribosomal RNA", at positions 31 to 480 of the family's 1533-position model. The record is from RNAcentral.
AAGAACGUUGGCGGCGUGGAUUAGGCAUGCAAGUCGCACGAGAAACUAAUUAGCUAGCUAAGAGGUGGACAGUGGCGCAAGGGAGAGUAACGCGUGGUUACUUGCCCUCGAGACCGGGAUAGUGUCGGGAAACUGGCAGUAAUACCGGAUAACAUCUUCGGAUCAAAUGGUGUGAUUCCGCUCGAGGAUAGGACCGCGUACUAUUAGCUUGUUGGUGAGGUAACGGCUCACCAAGGCUGCGAUGGUUACCGGGUGUGAGAGCAUGGCCCGGCUCACUGGGACUGAGACACUGCCCAGACACCUACGGGUGGCUGCAGUCGAGAAUCUUCGGCAAUGGACGAAAGUCUGACCGAGCGACGCCGCGUGCGGGAUGAAGGCCCUCGGGUUGUAAACCGCUGUCAGUAGUUAGGAAAUCCAUGAGGGUUAUCUCUCAUGGUUGACCGAUCU